AUUGAACGCUGGCGGAAUGCUUUACACAUGCAAGUCGAACGGCAGCACGGACUUCGGUCUGGUGGCGAGUGGCGAACGGGUGAGUAACAUAUCGGAACGUAUCCAAUAAUGGGGGAUAACGAGUCGAAAGAUUCGCUAAUACCGCAUACGCCCUACGGGGGAAAGCUGGGGACCUUCGGGCCUGGCGUUAAUGGAGCGGCCGAUAUCUGAUUAGCUAGUUGGUGAGGUAAAGGCUCACCAAGGCGACGAUCAGUAGCUGGUCUGAGAGGACGACCAGCCACACUGGAACUGGUACAAGGUCCAGACUCCUACGGGAGGCAGCAGUGGGGAAUUUUGGACAAUGGGCGCAAGCCUGAUCCAGCCAUUCCGCGUGAGUGAAGAAGGCCUUCGGGUUGUAAAGCUCUUUCGCAAGGGAAGAAAACUUAGCCACUAACAUUGGUUGAGGUUGACGGUACCUUGAUAAGAAGCACCGGCUAACUACGUGCCAGCCGCCGCCGUAA
Molecule: ribosomal RNA, 500 nt
Filed under: uncultured bacterium
Lineage: Bacteria
Description: partial 16S ribosomal RNA
Rfam family: Bacterial small subunit ribosomal RNA
Source: RNAcentral